UUGAACGCUGGCGGCAGGCCUAACACAUGCAAGUCGAGCGGAUGAAGGGAGCUUGCUCCUGGAUUCAGCGGCGGACGGGUGAGUAAUGCCUAGGAAUCUGCCUGGUAGUGGGGGAUAACGUCCGGAAACGGGCGCUAAUACCGCAUACGUCCUGAGGGAGAAAGUGGGGGAUCUUCGGACCUCACGCUAUCAGAUGAGCCUAGGUCGGAUUAGCUAGUUGGUGGGGUAAAGGCCUACCAAGGCGACGAUCCGUAACUGGUCUGAGAGGAUGAUCAGUCACACUGGAACUGAGACACGGUCCAGACUCCUACGGGAGGCAGCAGUGGGGAAUAUUGGACAGUGGGCGAAAGCCUGAUCCAGCCAUGCCGCGUGUGUGAAGAAGGUCUUCGGAUUGUAAAGCACUUUAAGUUGGGAGGAAGGGCAGUAAGUUAAUACCUUGCUGUUUUGACGUUACCAACAGAAUAAGCACCGGCUAACUUCGU
This 482-nucleotide ribosomal RNA is filed under the name uncultured bacterium. RNAcentral's name for it is "partial 16S ribosomal RNA". It matches the Rfam family "Bacterial small subunit ribosomal RNA", at positions 30 to 506 of the family's 1533-position model. The record is from RNAcentral.